GGGGGGGGGGGGGGGGGGGCGGAACGCAGGGGGGGCGGGGGGGGGCGGGGGGUUAGCUGGCGAAGACGGGGGGCGGCGGGCGCACGGGUGCGGAACGCGUAUGCGACUUGCCUCACAGAGGGGGAUAACCCGUCGAACGACGGCCUGAUACCGCGUACACUUGGGAUCGGCCGUCGUGACCCCCGGAAGUGAACUUCGCUGUGAGAUCGGCAUGCGUCCCAUUAGCUAGUUGGUGAGGUAACGGCUCACCAAGGCGACGAUGGGUAGGGGAACUGAGAGGUUGAACCACCAGACUGGUACUGAGACACGGACCAGACUCCUACGGGAGGAAGCAGUGAGGAAUAUUGGUCAAUGGGCGAGAGCCUGAACCAGCCAAGUCGCGUGAAGGAUGACUGUCUUAUGGAUUGUAAACUUCUUUUAUACGGGAAUAACAAGAGCCACGUGUGGCUCCCUGCAUGUACCGUAUGAAUAAGCAUCGGCUAACUCCGU
RNAcentral lists this ribosomal RNA (489 nucleotides) under uncultured bacterium. Its description in RNAcentral is "partial 16S ribosomal RNA". It matches the Rfam family "Bacterial small subunit ribosomal RNA", at positions 38 to 506 of the family's 1533-position model. The record is from RNAcentral.